GGGUUGUGAGGUUAAGUGACUAAGCGUACACGGUGGAUGCCCUGGCAGUCAGAGGCGAUGAAGGACGUGCUAAUCUGCGAUAAGCGUCGGUAAGGUGAUAUGAACCGUUAUAACCGGCGAUUUCCGAAUGGGGAAACCCAGUGUGAUUCGUCACACUAUCAUUAACUGAAUCCAUAGGUUAAUGAGGCGAACCGGGGGAACUGAAACAUCUAAGUACCCCGAGGAAAAGAAAUCAACCGAGAUUCCCCCAGUAGCGGCGAGCGAACGGGGAGGAGCCCAGAGCCUGAAUCAGUGUGUGUGUUAGUGGAAGCGUCUGGAAAGGCGCGCGAUACAGGGUGACAGCCCCGUACACAAAAAUGCACAUGCUGUGAGCUCGAUGAGUAGGGCGGGACACGUGGUAUCCUGUCUGAAUAUGGGGGGACCAUCCUCCAAGGCUAAAUACUCCUGACUGACCGAUAGUGAACCAGUACCGUGAGGGAAAGGCGAAAAGAACCCCGGCGAGGGGAGUGAAAAAGAACCUGAAACCGUGUACGUACAAGCAGUGGGAGCACAGAGCAAUCUGUGUGACUGCGUACCUUUUGUAUAAUGGGUCAGCGACUUAUAUUCUGUAGCAAGGUUAACCGAAUAGGGGAGCCGAAGGGAAACCGAGUCUUAACUGGGCGUUAAGUUGCAGGGUAUAGACCCGAAACCCGGUGAUCUAGCCAUGGGCAGGUUGAAGGUUGGGUAACACUAACUGGA
RNAcentral lists this ribosomal RNA (738 nucleotides) under Escherichia coli. RNAcentral's name for it is "partial 23S ribosomal RNA". It matches the Rfam family "Bacterial large subunit ribosomal RNA", at positions 1 to 770 of the family's 2925-position model. Lineage: Bacteria; Pseudomonadati; Pseudomonadota; Gammaproteobacteria; Enterobacterales; Enterobacteriaceae. The record is from RNAcentral.